CCGAUUUCAUCAUACAAUCCUUUCAGGAUCAUCAUCAAUUGCAUAAAGUAGCUUAGAAUUGAGAGUAAGAUUGAUUGAGCUAAAGUAAUUCUACCUGCUAGAGAAAGUUGUCUAGCGUACCAACUACAAAGUUUACUCGGCAUCUUAUCAAUGACAAAGCGCAAAGAAUUACUCAUAAAAUCUUCGUGAAAGAGGGGAAUCCCUAAAUACGAAUCAAGAUUCU
This 223-nucleotide long non-coding RNA is filed under the name Gossypium barbadense (sea-island cotton). RNAcentral describes it as "long non-coding RNA (GBAR_LNC000457)". The record is from RNAcentral. Lineage: Eukaryota; Viridiplantae; Streptophyta; Magnoliopsida; Malvales; Malvaceae.